CUCUUUCCUGAGUAUAAGCGAAUGAGUGACAUAAAGAGAAAAAGUACCAAUUUGUAUGCUGGUGAGUCUUGUGUAUUUUUUUCUCUGUCUCUCUAUGACAGAGAAAUAUAUAUGCUCAUUAUUGAUGUUCAAACUGAUGCUCAAAUUUCCAAGCACCACCUGAACGCCUCAUCGGUCUUUAACUAAUCACUACACCAACGGUUGUCAUUCCGCUUUGCUCUCUGCUGUGGAACUUGACUCACAUCUGUGCUUUGCCUGUGUGCAGAAGAAGAACAAGGACCAGAUCUCCAGUCUUCUAUCUCACAUCCCAACCCCCCAACCCCUCUAUCUUCUGUCCUACUCCACCUGUUGUCUCUGCCUUCUUUCCAUCUGUAUUUCACCCUGUGGUUUGUGAGAAAUUUUGCCAAACCAAGAAUCUUAUUGCGGUUUGAUUUAAAGCCGUGUCUCUCCUGCUCUGUCUGUUCUCUCUGCUAAAUUUUCUCUCUACCUGUUUUUCACUCUUUGGCUUGCUGCUGAAAAAUGCACAAGCCAAUAAAGCAAUAAAGAGUGCAUAUUUUGCCUCAACCUGAGAACAAACUGAACAAACAAAGAAAACUCUGCGGUUUGAUUUAAAGCCGUGUCUCUCCUGCUCUGUCUGUUCUCUCUGCUAAAUUUUCUCUCUACCUGUUUUUCACUCUUGGCUUGCUGCUGAAAAAUGCCAAGCCAUUAAAGCAAUAAAGAGUGCAUAUUGCCUCUACCUGAGAACAAACUGAACAAAUAAAGAAAACUCUAAUUCACGGUUUGAUUGUGAUUUCCCAGCCGUGUUUCUCCUGCUCUGUCUGUUCUCUCUUCUAAAUUUUCUCUCUAGCUGUUUUUCACUUUGCGCUUGCUGCUAAGUUGUGCCAAGCCAAUAAAGAGAGUGCAUAUUAUUCUCUUGACUGACAAACUGUCAAACAAACAAAGACAUCUGUUUCUGAGAAAUAAAAACUGAA
This is a non-coding RNA of Maylandia zebra (zebra mbuna), 971 nucleotides long. The record is from RefSeq and is a predicted model, not a curated record. NCBI's taxonomy places the organism in Eukaryota, Metazoa, Chordata, Actinopteri, Cichliformes, Cichlidae.